RNAcentral lists this unclassified non-coding RNA (240 nucleotides) under soil metagenome. Its description in RNAcentral is "partial contains 5.8S ribosomal RNA, internal transcribed spacer 2, and large subunit ribosomal RNA". The record is from RNAcentral.
AAGACUAUAGACCUGCGGAGUACCUGCGGAGGGAUCAUUAUCGUAUUGUAACAAUUGGGGGGGCCACCGUGGGUUGUCGCUGACCCUUUGAAAGGGGGGUCGUGCACGCCCCCAUAGUGUCAUCCUCAUACAAUCCAACUCACCUCUGUGCAUCACCGCGUGGGUUCCUUUCUGGGUCGAGUCAGACUGGCUCAGAAAAAAGGGGCUUGCGUUUUCCAUACAAAUACCCUUAUAAAUCCA